Molecule: non-coding RNA, 146 nt
Organism: Brenneria sp. EniD312
Lineage: Bacteria; Pseudomonadati; Pseudomonadota; Gammaproteobacteria; Enterobacterales; Pectobacteriaceae
Source: Rfam
AGUUAAAAAAAGACCGAAUACGAUUCCUGUAUCCGGUCUAGGGAAAUGGCUCUUGGGAGAGAGCCGUGCGCUAAAAGUUGGCAUUUAUACAAGCUGAACAAGCCUUGUCACCUAAGCGUAGCCAACUCCCUUGCAUUUUCCAGUUU